Canis lupus familiaris (dog) is the source of this 405-nucleotide long non-coding RNA. RefSeq lists it as uncharacterized. The record is from RefSeq and is a predicted model, not a curated record. Lineage: Eukaryota; Metazoa; Chordata; Mammalia; Carnivora; Canidae. The transcript has 3 exons.
UAAUGCUGCAUAACAAAUUAGACCCAGACUUAAAUGGCUUAACAAAAUGAUAUCCAUUAUCUUACAGUGUUUGUAGGCCAAGAGUCUGGAUGUGGUUUGACUAGACUCCUCCAGCUCAAAGGCUCAAAUGAAAGUGUUAGCCAUGGCCAUCAUCAUCUCAAUGAUUGAACAGAGGAGAAUCUGCUAGUACAAUAUUGAACAGAGUGGUGUCACUUUGAGAGGCUUUCCCUGAAAAGUGAGGAAGAACAAAUGCCCCAUCUCCUGAAGCCAUAAGAUCUGACAGAGAUGAAAACUUCCAACCUCCCCAGAUGAACAUGCCAGCAUGAGAAAAAAGCGAAGGACAUGGGGAUGAUGCCAGAGGCAGUAAAUGAACUGGUGGGAGCACAUUUAUUGAAACAGGUAACC